GUGCCAGCAGCCGCGGUAAUACGUAGGUGGCAAGCGUUGUCCGGAUUUACUGGGCGUAAAGGGAGCGUAGGUGGAUAUUUAAGUGGGAUGUGAAAUACUCGGGCUUAACCUGAGUGCUGCAUUCCAAACUGGAUAUCUAGAGUGCAGGAGAGGAAAGUAGAAUUCCUAGUGUAGCGGUGAAAUGCGUAGAGAUUAGGAAGAAUACCAGUGGCGAAGGCGACUUUCUGGACUGUAACUGACACUGAGGCUCGAAAGCGUGGGGAGCAAACAGGAUUAGAAACCCCGGUAGUCCA
This 293-nucleotide ribosomal RNA is filed under the name uncultured bacterium. RNAcentral describes it as "partial 16S ribosomal RNA". It matches the Rfam family "Bacterial small subunit ribosomal RNA", at positions 505 to 797 of the family's 1533-position model. The record is from RNAcentral.